GAGCGAACCGGGAAGAGCCCAGCU
Molecule: small nuclear RNA, 24 nt
Filed under: Arabidopsis thaliana (thale cress)
Lineage: Eukaryota; Viridiplantae; Streptophyta; Magnoliopsida; Brassicales; Brassicaceae
Description: snRNA_05919
Source: RNAcentral